UGGGGAAUCUUCCGCAAUGGACGAAAGUCUGACGGAGCAACGCCGCGUGAGUGAAGAAGGUUUUCGGAUCGUAAAACUCUGUCUUUUGGGGCGAACGUGAGUAUGGUGAACAAUCAUAGUCAGUGACGGUACCAAAGGAGGAAGCCACGGCUAACUACGUGCCAGCAGCCGCGGUAAUACGUAGGUGGCAAGCGUUGUCCGGAAUUAUUGGGCGUAAAGAGCGCGCAGGCGGGAUAGUCAGUCUGUUGUAAAAGUGCGGGGCUCAACCCCGUGAUGGCAAUGGAAACAGCUAUUCUUGAGUGCAGGAGAGGAAAGUGGAAUUCCCAGUGUAGCGGUGAAAUGCGUAGAUAUUGGGAGGAACACCAGUGGCGAAGGCGACUUUCUGGACUGUGUCUGACGCUGAGGCGCGAAAGCCAGGGGAGCGAACGGGAUUAGAUACCCCGGUAGUCCUGGCCGUAAACGAUGGGUACUAGGUGUGGGAGGUAUCGACCCCUUCCGUGCCGGAGUUAACGCAAUAAGUACCCCGCCUGGGGAGUACGGUCGCAAGACUGAAACUUAAAUGAAUUGAC
This 569-nucleotide ribosomal RNA is filed under the name uncultured bacterium. Its description in RNAcentral is "partial 16S ribosomal RNA". It matches the Rfam family "Bacterial small subunit ribosomal RNA", at positions 355 to 914 of the family's 1533-position model. The record is from RNAcentral.